CCUACGGGAGGCAGCAGUGAGGAAUAUUGGUCAAUGGGCGUAAGCCUGAACCAGCCAAGUCGCGUGAGGGAUGAAGGUUCUAUGGAUCGUAAACCUCUUUUAUAAGGGAAUAAAGUGUGGGACGUGUCCUAUUUUGUAUGUACCUUAUGAAUAAGGAUCGGCUAACUCCGUGCCAGCAGCCGCGGUAAUACGGAGGAUCCGAGCGUUAUCUGGAUUUAUUGGGUUUAAAGGGUGCGUAGGCGGCCUUUUAAGGCAGCGGUGAAAGUCUGUGGCUCAACCAUAGAAUUGCCGUAGAAACUGGGGGGCUUGAGUAUGGUAGAGGCAGGCGGAAUGCGUGGUGUAGCGGUGAAAUGCUUAGAUAUCACGAAGAACCCCGAUUGCGAAGGCAGCCUGCCAAGCCAUGACUGACGCUGAGGCACGAAAGCGUGGGGAUCAAACAGGAUUAGAUACCUCUGUAGUC
RNAcentral lists this ribosomal RNA (460 nucleotides) under uncultured bacterium. Its description in RNAcentral is "partial 16S ribosomal RNA". It matches the Rfam family "Bacterial small subunit ribosomal RNA", at positions 338 to 795 of the family's 1533-position model. The record is from RNAcentral.